This 449-nucleotide ribosomal RNA is filed under the name uncultured bacterium. Its description in RNAcentral is "partial 16S ribosomal RNA". It matches the Rfam family "Bacterial small subunit ribosomal RNA", at positions 29 to 523 of the family's 1533-position model. The record is from RNAcentral.
AACGAACGCUGGCGGCAGGCUUAACACAUGCAAGUCGAACGCCCCGCAAGGGGAGUGGCAGACGGGUGAGUAACGCGUGGGAAUCUACCGUACCCUACGGAACAACAGUUGGAAACGACUGCUAAUACCGUAUACGCCCUACGGGGGAAAGAUUUAUCGGGGUAUGAUGAGCCCGCGUUGGAUUAGCUAGUUGGUGGGGUAAAGGCCUACCAAGGCGACGAUCCAUAGCUGGUCUGAGAGGAUGAUCAGCCACAUUGGGACUGAGACACGGCCCAAACUUCUACGGGAGGCAGCAGUGGGGAAUAUUGGACAAUGGGCGAAAGCCUGACGCAGCAACACCGCGUGCGGGAUGAAGGUCUUCGGACUGUAAACCGCUUUAUUAAAGGAGUAAUUUUUGAAGGUACUUUAAGAAUAAGCACCGGCUAAACUCGUGCCAGCCGCCGCGGUAA